CUUCUCCAUACGUGGACCCGAGGGGUGUGAGUCCUCAACUGGGGCGGCUUCUGGGAAUUUUUAUAAGCGGCAAAGGAUCCUCAGGCGCCAGAAGUUUGGCUGCGAGAACCUUGAUUUCCCCGGUUCUCAGCGCCUGAGGGCAGCUGGGAGGACGGACCUCAGAGAUACCGACCGAAACCCUGAAGAAUGCAGUGAUGGACGGCCCAGGACGCGUCUCCAAGUCGAGGCCGAGCUUGAGCUGCUCGUCGCUGAAGCUGGCGAGUCGUCCCUGAGGACAGUCUGUGCUCGUGUGUGUGUUGAAAACACUUCAUUAUAAAAAGUUCAAGUGAACCAGACUCUGUGAACAUCGAGGAAGUCCCUCCUAGGUUACAGUCCCGUGAAAGGUAUGCAGCUGCCGUCCUAAGACGUCUCCCAGGCUGCCCGCCUCGGGGCAGAAUCAAGGUGUUAAAGAAAGAGGACCCCGCCCUCAGCCCGUGGCUCCUGGACGCAGAGGAGGUCUCUGCAAAGGCUACUCAGUGGAUUCCCAGCUGCCAGUACCACAGGGCUGGCCACUACAGAAGCCCUCGCUUCAGCAAGAUGGAAGGACUUCACAGCCUGGAUGGCUCUCAUGGCUUCAGGUCCCUGGACCGUUGGCGCCGUCGGCAGCAGCAAAGCAGGUGCACUCGGCCCCUCUCCUGGCCCACCCGGCUCCCAAGGUUGCAGACGUAGGUCUGGCCGUGGGCCGCCCUCUAGCA
RNAcentral lists this long non-coding RNA (734 nucleotides) under Sus scrofa (pig). RNAcentral describes it as "lncRNA (ENSSSCG00050047955.1)". The record is from RNAcentral. Lineage: Eukaryota; Metazoa; Chordata; Mammalia; Artiodactyla; Suidae.